AUUGAACGCUGGCGGAAUGCUUUACACAUGCAAGUCGAGCGGCAGCGCGGGGCAACCUGGCGGCGAGCGGCGAACGGGUGAGUAACAUAUCGGAACGUACCCAUUGGUGGGGGAUAACACAUCGAAAGAUGUGCUAAUACCGCAUACGACCUGAGGGUGAAAGGGGGGGAUCGCAAGACCUCUCGCCGUUGGAGCGGCCGAUAUCGGAUUAGCUAGUUGGUGAGGUAAAGGCUCACCAAGGCGACGAUCCGUAGCUGGUCUGAGAGGACGACCAGCCACAUUGGAACUGAGACACGGUCCAGACUCCUACGGGAGGCAGCAGUGGGGAAUUUUGGACAAUGGGGGCAACCCUGAUCCAGCCAUUCCGCGUGAGGGAAGAAGGCCUUCGGGUUGUAAACCUCUUUCGGCAGGAACGAAAAGGUGGGGGCUAAUACCCUUUAUCAAUGACGGUACCUGAAGAAGAAGCACCGGCUAACUACGUGCCAGCCGCCGCCGUAA
RNAcentral lists this ribosomal RNA (498 nucleotides) under uncultured bacterium. RNAcentral describes it as "partial 16S ribosomal RNA". It matches the Rfam family "Bacterial small subunit ribosomal RNA", at positions 29 to 523 of the family's 1533-position model. The record is from RNAcentral.